UGGUUUAGUUCAAACUGUGGGGUGGGAUUUUCACCUGUGGAGAAAAGAAAGCAUUGCUCCCUGAAAGCUGGGGGAUACUUAUACAAGGAGGAAGACGAUCCAGUGACAGACAUGGAGGUGUAGUAGAAAUGAUGCAGGAGAGAGCAGGUAAAAUAAAGAAAAUGCUCAAGAAGAUAUGAUUGUUCUUAUGGAGAGGUCAAAACAAAUGAGUGGCUACUGGAUUAAACAGUCAGGACAUCUGUGGAACUUUCUGGAAAGUACUUUCACUAAACCAUACAGGUUGAAAAUGGGUACUUGUUAAAGAAAGUGAACUGUUAGCUUUUCUGGAGUUUUCCAAGGACAAAAAGAGAGGGCGGCAGGUAGAUGAGGUGAGCAAGGCGAGGCAGGGCUGCUCUGCAGGUAUGUGGGAGAAGCGGUCUGUUUAUGGGCUGCACAACCAGGGGGCCAUUUCUCUUCAAAGUGCACAUGUUUUAAUCCUCUCGUGACUUUGCCCAAGAUUAUUCCACCCUGAUUUCUAGUUGGGGAACAUGACUGCAUUGCAUAGUGAAAUGUGUUCUGUUCCAUUUAUAAAGAAGGCUUGGCAAAUAGAUGAUUAGUUGCUUGGUGAGGAAUGGAAGUUGCUCUGUCUUAUCAUGUUGUUGUCUGGAGGAGGAGUGACUGAUAAUAAUUGGGGGGAAAUUCUGUUUUUAUUAUGGCCUGAGGCUGUGAUCACAUUAAAGCUAAAUACUCUUAUGUGUCGUUUUAAAACUUCACUUGUUGUGAGAUCUGAAGCCGUUUGUAGGGGACCUCUAGAUGGAAGAGAAUGCACAUUACAAAAUUUAAUGGGUUUUAAAAUAAUUUUACACAAAACAGAGACCAAUGUUCAUUGCAUCACCGAGCUUUGCAUUUGAAUAUUACAAUAACAUUAUGCUGAAACACUUCCAAUUAAAUACUGAUUGUGAAACGCUGUUACAAUUGCUUGAUGCUAUGUGUAUUCAGUUAAAAAAGCCAAAUGUAGAACUGUAUGUGCACAAUGAAAUAAAAUCUCAAUAUAUCAGACAAAGGAAAACAGUAGCUAGGUUAUGAUGACAGACUUUUUUCUUUUCUUUUUUCCCCAAAUGUGUCUUUGGGUUAUAAAACACAGUUAAAUUUCCUUUAGAAGGAGAUAACAUGAACUGUCACUGCUUUUAUUUUAAAAUUUCCACUGUUCAUAGUUUUGGGGAUUUUUGAAGGCUGGAGUUCUUACUCUGGGUUCAUGAUGCCCUGAAAUCAUAAAGGCAUGGCUGUGUGCACACCGGAUGGUUCUGCUUUCAUCAGCUCUCAAAGGGGCCCAUGACCUCACAGUGGAUGAGAACUCACAGAUGACAAGCAGUUAGAGCAGCCUCCAUAUUCCAGUCCUGACACCCGUCUGCAAUGAGCUCAUGCGCCCCGUCCCUCCUCUGGGUUCGUCCUCCCUUGUGAAAUUGUAAGUCCAAAUGGGCGACCUGCCUCCCAUUCCCCACCACUGUGGUGGCCCCACCCAAAUGGCUAUGGUGCAACACACAUCUGACUUCCAAUGAUCUUUCUGUUUGUAGACAUCCUUACAGUGUGAAAACAGACCCACUGAUACAGCGCAUUUAGUUCUUUAUCAAGGGCUCAUUGUUGGAAUGAAGUGCCACUGACAGAGUCUUGAACUUACAGCUCCACUUGCUUUCCUCUGCCUCCUUCACAAACAUUCACAGAGACCCCACUCCUAGAAGUCUGUGAGCAGCAUGAUUGAGCACUGCUGGGAAUUUGGAUUUGAACCCCAAUUUGCCCUUAUGUGCUGUGUGGUCACAGACUUGGUCUUCUUGUAUGUAACACAUGGAUGCCACUAUCCACUUUAUGUGACUUGUCAUGGGGAUUAAAUGAGAAGCAGAUGCCAGCAAGCAUACAGAUGCUUGGCACAUUUUAGCUUCCUUCCCUGUAUGUGAUUUCCUUGCAUUUUCACAUACUCGCUAAUCAGUAGGUUUGAGCACCUAUUAUGUAUGAGACACUGUACUAGGUGCCAAGGAUAUGAAGGGAUCAAAAAUGGUCUUUGUGGUGUCAUAGGUUAUUUGAGACACCACCUUUAAAAAUAGCAUGUGCUAAGUGCUAAAGGGAUUGUAAGUGUGUCAGUUUUUUUAUUUACAGAUGUAUUCAGUCUUUCAAAAACUUGUUGAGCACUCAUGAUGAUGUGCUAAGUCCUAUUUGGGGCCACUGAUGAUUUUACUGAGAACAAGAGAGACAAAGUAUCUGUUGUCAUCAGGCUCUUGAUGUGGCACAGGGAGGCUGGCCAGAGACCAGGUGGUGGUUAUACAUCUUGGGUGCUUUUGGUUGUUGGUAAACACUACAGAGAAAACACAAGUGAGAGAUCUGACAGAGUGCAGCCGAGUGGGAAGCUAAUCCAGGGACCUAUUGAGCCUCACUGUGGUGAAGAAUCAAAGGAUGGAUAACACACAGGGUUUCUCCAUGUGGUCUGUCUGUGUGGGCUAGUCUGAGCUUCCAAACAACAUGGUGGCCCCAGUGUGGAAAGGACAACAGAAGUAAGAUUCCCAGGGAACAAACUGAAAGCUGCUUGGCCUUUUACAACCUUGUUUCAGAAGUCAUCUCUGCAUUUUACUAUGUACAAAGUAGCAGCCCAGCCCUCAUAUUCCAACCUUUGAGCUUCUUACAGUAUCAAUGGUGAACAUGUUAAAAAUGCAAAAAAUGUGACUCUUUUCAAGAUUCACUCCAGGCCUGCUGUAGUGGGCUGAAGAACGACAGCUUCCUAAAAGCUACGUGAGAUCCUAAUCCCUACAAUCUGUGAAUGCACCUUAUUUUAAAAAUGGGUCUUUGCAGGUUUAAAGUAUCUCAAAAAGAGAUCAUCCUGGAUUAUCAAGGUAGACCCUAAAUUCAGGGCAAGUGUCCUUAUCAGAGAAAAGCAGAAGGAGAUUUGAGACAGAGAGAGAAGUCUAUGUGGAGAUGGAGGUAGAGUCUUCAGUGAUGCAGCCACAAGCCACGGCAGCCCUGGAGACACCAAAGGCUGAAGAGGCAGGAAGGAUGCUUCCUUGGAAUCUCUGGAGGGAGUGCAGCCCUGCCCACACCUUGAUUUUGGACUUCUGGCUUCCAGAACUGUUAGGGAAUAAAUUUCUGUUGUUUUAAACCACCAACUUUAUGGUGAUUUGUUAUGGCAGUCCUAAAAAAUGAAUACCUAGGGAAUAAGAGGCCCAGGUAGUGGGUCCCGCAGUCAGUAUUUCAGCAAGCCUCCUUGUGACCGUGACGCUCGCUCAGGUUGAAAACCACCCAUCAAGGUUGAGAACCACUGAUUCAUUGAUAAAUGCCUCUACAUGUGACUGGCUAAAGACGACACCUUUUUCCCCUGCAUGACAGCAAGGCCUUUCUUAAUCUGGGCAGAGACCAAGUGUGGACAAUGAGCACCUGGGGGAAAGCUGGAGUCUCAGAAGGGAGGUGAACUGCUCUGGGUUAGUUCUCCAAGGCUUUCUUUCUUGGGGCUUGUCUCAUUUACAACAAAGAUUUCUUUUGCUCUAAAGAUGGACAGGGUAAAGUGCCAGGCACUGCAGUUAUAGGCAGGUGUAACACUUUACUCUUACUAUUAAGAGUUCUGCCAUCUCACUGGAGAAACAGGAUAAGAAGAUAUAAACAAUUCCAUCUCCAGCUUCACAUGGCAUAAUGUCUUCGAAACACCUCUCAUAACUUAUCAAAUAAGCAACUCUUCAGGCUACAAGUGUAUCUCUAACUGAAUUCCUCCUAAGCACUGGGGUGGUAUUAAAUCAACACUGGCAUGCUCUCAUUUCUAAAAUACAAGAUACUGUUUCCCAAUGAAUAAUGCAUCCUGCUUCUCUCCCAGGCUCUCAUUCCUUACAGAUUAGUUUGCAUAUCAAGAACAACUAGACUUUCUAAAAGUCACAUCAGAGCAGAAGAAUGUUUGCUUGUGGAUACACUUUCUAGUGUUUUUUCCUCAAAUUUGAGCAUUUGGGGGGACCCUGAGAGAAAUCGAGAUACAUCACAGCCUGUGCAAGAACACAUGUUGGCUGAUGAGAAGUGACCCUGCCACUGACUGAAGGGCUGAGCUUCUUGACUGGUUAAAAUUCAGGAGGAAGGUGCUUCCACCAGCUGUAUCUCUUUAAUCAAAGUGACAUUUGUACCACUGGAUCCCCAGAGUUCUUUGGGGACACACAACCUACUGGGAGAGGCAUGCCCUGGGAAGAAGGAGGGGGUGCCCAUGGCCAUGAAGGGAUGUGCUAGGGGAUAUGACCAGGAGAUUAUGAACAGAUGGCACCCCAAGGCUGGCACCCCAGCAUAGCAUCAAGGCUCAGGCUUCAUACACCAGGCCUCUCAGAUUCUGAGGCCUGCAUCUCCACCCAGUGGCUGUGUGACACUCACAGAGCUUCAGUUUCCUCAGCUGUUAAUGGGGCAAUAAAUAGAGGUAACCUCUAAAGGUCAUGGUAAGGAUUAGUCAAAACACAGAACAUCCUAAUAGCAAAGUCUGGCAGUCCAUCUAUGUUAUUUCUUUUUUUCCUCUCUUCCACCUCCACCAUCCUCUACUUAUCAUCAUCACCAUUGCCGCCUCUUCAUCACCAUCAUCACUCAUGGUGUGACCUCACACCCUCAGUCCAGGGUGUAAGUCUGAUUUUCCCUCCUAAAUGACCUAACCUUAGAGAAGUCAUUCAUCUCAAGAGCCUCCCUGUGCAUUACUAGCACGCCGCUCACUUUACCAGCAGGUGAGGAUUAGAGAGAGCUCACCUGAAGCCCCUAAGAAAGGGCUUGACUCUUCACGAAGUGAAGUCGCUCAGUCGUGUCUGACUCUCUGUGACCCCAU
Molecule: non-coding RNA, 4798 nt
Organism: Odocoileus virginianus texanus
Lineage: Eukaryota; Metazoa; Chordata; Mammalia; Artiodactyla; Cervidae
Source: RefSeq, a predicted model, not a curated record